Molecule: non-coding RNA, 421 nt
Organism: Saimiri boliviensis boliviensis (Bolivian squirrel monkey)
Lineage: Eukaryota; Metazoa; Chordata; Mammalia; Primates; Cebidae
Source: RefSeq, a predicted model, not a curated record
GUUUAUUGUAAAGAUUCAGUCAGAUAGUGUGUUUGAAAAUUCUUUUAAACUGGUUGGAAGGAAGAAGAAACUUAAAAGUGACAAAGAUGCUGCCUUCAAUGGAAACUGGAGUCUGCUUCAGAUUAAGAUAAAGAGUGGAAGUACAUGGAACCCCACUCUUCUUAGACCCCUUGCCCCCAGCCAUGAGCACAUACAGAAGAAUUCAUACAAGUGGUUGCUGAAAACCUGUCAGGAUAUUCAUGGAUGAAAGUGAGAUCAUUAGAGGGAACAUUUCAAGAGGAAGGUUCGAUCUGUUCAUCUUUCUAUCUCCAGCACCUUGUACAUUUUAGGCACUUUAAUGGAUGCUUACUGAAUAAUAAAAGUGAAAAACCUCACAUGGUGUUUAUUCUGUUUCAAAUAAAGAAUCCUCUGCAAAUGGAUU